Long non-coding RNA from Liolophura sinensis, 399 nucleotides. RefSeq lists it as uncharacterized. NCBI's taxonomy places the organism in Eukaryota, Metazoa, Mollusca, Polyplacophora, Chitonida, Chitonidae. The transcript has 3 exons. The record is from RefSeq and is a predicted model, not a curated record.
GUGCCGUGGAAUGUGUGGGCACGGUACAUCAUGCCGCCCCGAACGGUGUCCAGGAAGAUGUUUUAACUGCAGAUGUGACUCGGGCUUUGCUCAACGCACACGUGUCAAUGGAUACAUACCACCCGUGUAUUAUUGCUUUCAAAAAUGUGACGACAAUGGUGCUAAUUGCCCUGAAAAUUCAGAGUGUCAGCUGACGAAUUUAGGAGACUGGUCAGGCAGUAGAAAAUCCUCGAAACUGUGUAUUUGUUCCCGGGAUACCUCUCCUUCACCUACAGGGCAGUGUAUGGCUGCACAAACUCCACCGUCAACAACUGACCCAGCAGUAGCGAUAGGUGUUGCGGUUCUACUGGUUUUGAUCGGAUGUGUCCUGGCACUAGUUACGGUUGUUGUUGUUCUAAG